AUUGAACGCUGGCGGAAUGCUUUACACAUGCAAGUCGAACGGCAGCACGGGGGCAACCCUGGUGGCGAGUGGCGAACGGGUGAGUAAUACAUCGGAACGUGCCCGUUCGUGGGGGAUAACGUAGCGAAAGUUACGCUAAUACCGCAUACGAUCUGAGGAUGAAAGCGGGGGACCUUCGGGCCUCGCGCGAUCGGAGCGGCCGAUGUCCGAUUAGGUAGUUGGUGGGGUAAAGGCCUACCAAGCCGACGAUCUGUAGCUGGUCUGAGAGGACGACCAGCCACACUGGGACUGAGACACGGCCCAGACUCCUACGGGAGGCAGCAGUGGGGAAUUUUGGACAAUGGGCGCAAGCCUGAUCCAGCCAUUCCGCGUGCAGGACGAAGGCCUUCGGGUUGUAAACUGCUUUUGUAUGGAACGAAAAGGCUCUGGCUAAUACCUGGGGCUCAUGACGGUACCGUAAGAAUAAGCACCGGCUAACUACGUG
This 484-nucleotide ribosomal RNA is filed under the name uncultured bacterium. Its description in RNAcentral is "partial 16S ribosomal RNA". It matches the Rfam family "Bacterial small subunit ribosomal RNA", at positions 30 to 507 of the family's 1533-position model. The record is from RNAcentral.